ACGUAGGGUGCAAGCGUUGUCCGGAUUUAUUGGGCGUAAAGAGCUCGUAGGCGGUUUGUCACGUCGGGUGUGAAAAUCCGGGGCUCAACCCCGGACCUGCAUCCGAUACGGGCAGACUUGAGUGUGGUAGGGGAGACUGGAAUUCCUGGUGUAGCGGUGAAAUGCGCAGAUAUCAGGAGGAACACCAAUGGCGAAGGCAGGUCUCUGGGCCACAACUGACGCUGAGGAGCGAAAGCGUGGGGAGCAAACAGG
Molecule: ribosomal RNA, 252 nt
Filed under: uncultured bacterium
Lineage: Bacteria
Description: partial 16S ribosomal RNA
Rfam family: Bacterial small subunit ribosomal RNA
Source: RNAcentral